RNAcentral lists this long non-coding RNA (1019 nucleotides) under Lupinus angustifolius (narrow-leaved blue lupine). RNAcentral's name for it is "long non-coding RNA (LANG_LNC003534)". Lineage: Eukaryota; Viridiplantae; Streptophyta; Magnoliopsida; Fabales; Fabaceae. The record is from RNAcentral.
GUCGGUUCACAGUGGGGGAAGAGAAGAAAAACAUAGACUACACAACAAAAAACAACAACCAGAGGGCAGGCUAUCAUAUACAGUCAUAAAAAAGGAGAAAUCAGGAACAGAGAGAAUUCAGGAAGAAGCUACAACAUAGGAAGAAGAGCAUACACUCAGGUAAGCAUUUCACUCUACUUGUCUAAACAAUUAUAAACAAAUACAUCCCCACCCUGUUUGUAUAUUUAUCAAAACAUAUACAUACAUAUUGUGAAAUUAGAAUAAGCAUACGCACGUCACAACAUAAGAAAUAAAAAAUGCAUAACAGUUAAAGAACGCAUCAUAUGUGCUAACGCAUAUCACCAGAAUCUGAAAGACAUACACAUCCAUAUCAUACGUAUAUAGAGACAGAGCCUCUGUAAACAGAGAACCAACACUCAGAAGGUUACCCAAUCUUGGUGAGGUUGAUCGUGAGUACCUACACCUUAAUGUCAUCAUCACCGAGUGAACACCGCACACUCCUUGGCCUUAAUAAACCUCUGCGAGGAUAAGAAGUUAUGAAAAUUAUAAAAUCCAGAAUAGAAAAUCAAAAAGAGAAUUAAAAGGAGAUGAGUAAUAAAGAACUAAAGAGAUCGGGAGGGGUGAUUACCUUUUUUUUCAUAAGUCACCGAUGAUUCUCAAUCAUCGCUACCACCACUGAAAUCGAGAAGAGAAGGUAAAAAAUAGAAGGAGGGCGACCCGCAAUGCUUCAAACCGAGAUGAAUAGAGAGGAAGAGUGAAAAGGGGGAUUCAGGGAUUUCGUCUUUCUCAUUCUCUGAUGAUUUCGUGAGAAAAGGUGAGGAUGAGGACUUUCAUCUCUUGAUGCAUGUGAUGACAACCGUGAUCUCCCUUCUUGACCGAGAACAAAGCCACCGCCGGAGAUGGAGAAGAGGUGGAGAAGAGAGGGAAAAAUAGGAUUUAGGGAUUUAAUCCCUUGGUACCGUGAUGGAGCAGGGUAACAUUCCCUUUUUGUUUUUUAUGUCCCCAAUGCCAAAUUCUGU